GCUAGCGGCAGGCCUAUACAUGCAAGUCGAACGGCAGCACGAACUUCGGUUUGGUGGCGAGUGGCGCACGGGUGCGUAACGCGUAUGCAACCUACCCUUAACAGGGGGAUAGCCCGGAGAAAUUCGGAUUAAUAUUUUAUAGUAUUAUUAGAUGGCAUCUGAAAAUAAUUAAAGAUUUAUCGGUUAAGGAUGGGCAUGCGUGACAUUAGUUAGUUGGUAAGGUAACGGCUUACCAAGACGAUGAUGUCUAGGGGUUCUGAGAGGAUGAUCCCCCACAAGUGGUACUGAGAUACGGACCAGACUCCUACGGGAGGCAGCAGUAGGGAAUAUUGGUCAAUGGGCGAGAGCCUGAACCAGCCAUGCCGCGUGCAGGAAGACGGCCUUCUGGGUUGUAAACUGCUUUUAUCAGGGAACAAAACGCCCAUGCGUGGGUAACUGAGUGUACCUGAAGAAUAAGCACCGGCUAACUCCGUGCCAGCAGCCGCGGUAAUACGGAGGGUGCAAGCGUUGUCCGGAUUAGUUGGGUUUAAAGGGUGCGUAGGCGGUCGAUUAAGUCAGUGGUGAAAUCCUACAGCUCAACUGUAGAACUGCCAUUGAUACUGGUUGACUUGAGUACAGACGAGGUAGGCGGAAUUUAUGGUGUAGCGGUGAAAUGCAUAGAUACCAUAAAG
Molecule: ribosomal RNA, 671 nt
Filed under: uncultured Flexibacter sp.
Lineage: Bacteria; Pseudomonadati; Bacteroidota; Cytophagia; Cytophagales; Flexibacteraceae
Description: bacterial SSU rRNA
Rfam family: Bacterial small subunit ribosomal RNA
Source: RNAcentral